CAACCWUGCUGUAAGCACAAAGUGAACUAUUCUUUUCGCCUUUUGCUAAAGAAUCCGUGUGUUUUUUGCUGACAGCGUCAUAUGCCUACUUUUGGAGGGUUUUCUCCAAACCG
Non-coding RNA from Nelumbo nucifera (sacred lotus), 113 nucleotides. Lineage: Eukaryota; Viridiplantae; Streptophyta; Magnoliopsida; Proteales; Nelumbonaceae. The record is from Rfam.